UACGUAGGGGGCAAGCGUUGUCCGGAUUUAUUGGGCGUAAAGAGCGUGUAGGCGGCUUGGUAGGUCCGCUGUGAAAACUCGAGGCUCAACCUCGAGAUGUCGGCGGAAACCCCCUGGCUAGAGUCCGGGAGAGGAGAGUGGAAUUCCUGGUGUAGCGGUGAAAUGCGCAGAUAUCAGGAAGAACACCCGUGGCGAAAGCGGCUCUCUGGAACGGUACUGACGCUGAGACGCGAAAGCGUGGGGAGCGAACAGG
This 253-nucleotide ribosomal RNA is filed under the name uncultured bacterium. Its description in RNAcentral is "partial 16S ribosomal RNA". It matches the Rfam family "Bacterial small subunit ribosomal RNA", at positions 524 to 776 of the family's 1533-position model. The record is from RNAcentral.